GGUGUAGUUCAGUGAUAGAGCGUGUGCUUAACAUGCACAAGGCCCUGAGUUCCAUACCCAGUACC
This 65-nucleotide transfer RNA is filed under the name Urocitellus parryii (Arctic ground squirrel). RNAcentral's name for it is "Spermophilus parryii (Arctic ground squirrel) tRNA". It matches the Rfam family "tRNA". From Rfam's summary of the family: Transfer RNA (tRNA) molecules are approximately 80 nucleotides in length. Their secondary structure includes four short double-helical elements and three loops (D, anti-codon, and T loops). RNAcentral also lists the same sequence under 1 other name. The record is from Rfam by way of RNAcentral. Lineage: Eukaryota; Metazoa; Chordata; Mammalia; Rodentia; Sciuridae.